AAACUCUUCUGACCCUUUCAGCAGUACAUACUUGGAGGAAGUCAUUAUGAGAAUAUUAUGACUCUGUUUUGGAGUUCCUGCUCAUAUUAGACCUGAUAUUUCCACCUGUUUCUGCAGACACUGUUUAACAGAAAACAAAUAAUAAAAUGCAGCUUAUAUCAGCCAAAAUAAAUAUUGCAUACUCAGCCAUAUUCAAAAUACUCUGACAAGAUGUGCUUAUCAUGGAGAGGAAUAGUUGAAACCAAUCAGCAUGCCAAUGCUUGUUCAUAAUAAGCGAAAAAGAAACUAUGUGUUUUUGUAUAUUUAUAUAUUUGUAUAGCAUAUAAAGGUGUGUUGUAUUUAAGAUCUUAAACAAUAGAAAUGGUUCAUUAUUAUGAUGGGAGUUGCUUGGGGAUUUUUGCCCCCUGUAAUGAUAGCGUCUGCAUAUGCCACUGAAGCACAGAGUCUAGCAGUCGGUGUGUGAGCUCUUUACUAACUAAUGGGUUAAUGGUGCAGGUAAAGGUAAUGAUUUUAAAUUAUAUUUUUAUAUUGUUAUUAUUUUUUGUUGCUUUUUUUAGGGUGCCCUUAAGGUGUUCAGAAAGCAGUUCAAAUUUAAUGAAAGAUGGUUAUUUAAGAUGUCGGGUAAAGCAAUGAGAAAGAGGGGGCUGAAAAAGAAAAAGUGCAGUUUAAAAGAACGUCCAGAAAAUAUAAUAAUUGUUGGCAGUUAAUUGAGGCGUAGUUAGAAUAAUGUAUUACAUACCACGCUGAAAUCAGUUUGUCAGGUUUGAUAGAUUCUACUAAGACUGUUAAAUCCCUUUCCAUGUAAUUCCGGAAGAUUUGCUGUUGAGUAAGAACAUGAAACAUGUAUCUAGUUUAAGGAAAUACGAGGACAAAAAACUUUAAUGCCAUAAUUAUCAUCUUUACUGUGAUUACAUUUCAUUUAUUACAGCCAUACAUAUAUUACAUGGGCAUUUUACUCCUAUGUGUUCAUUAAUCAGAUUAAUGUUAAAUUGCCAAUUGGUUGGAGUGAGCAAAGGUUCUUCUGGCACUCAAAAACAAAAAAAUGCUCUGCCUCUGGAUGUCUACUGUAACACGUUUACACAAAUAAUUUUUCUAGGAAAAAAAACAAAACAUUUAUACCCACAAACCACCACUGAUGAAAAGAGAUGCCAGAAGGACUUUGUGAGUGUCACAGGCUUGGUUAUCUGUUAAAUUGAUUUCACUGUUGUUUUACUGAAAGUUUACUUUCAGUCCUUUAAUCUGGGGUCUUUAUUGGCGCUUUAUGGCAUCAGAUGUGUGCCAUUUCAUCCAUUUUUUUUAAAGAAAAUUGGAUAAAUUAUUGGUCCCUUAAAGGGAUGGGAAAAAUGAAAUUAUCGUCAUUACUCUUAAAACUGCAUGACUUUUUCUUCUGUAGAACAUAACAGAAUAUAUUUUGAGGAAUGUCUCAGUUUUGAGGACGAUUGGCUUCCAUUGUGUGGACCAAAAAAAAAAAAACUACCCAACAUUCUUCAAAAUAUCUUUUGUUUUCCACAGAAGAAAUUUAGUCAUAAGCCAGGUUUGGAACAGCAUGAGGGUGAGUAAAUGAUGACAGAAUUUACUGGUUGAACUGUCCCUUUAACUUAUAGGAUUGACUUCCUAGUAGUGAAGGAAGGUUGUUCAAGUGAUCCAGUGCUAAAUUCAAUACAACACAGAUGUGCAAGUAUGGUAUUUGCUAAAUUUGCCAGAGCUUAGUUUGACUUCCUAGAGCAAGCUGAGGCAGAUAUACAGCCUGCUUCAAAUGUUCCCCUAUUUUCCUGUCUUCUAUUGCCAUUUCGCAAUCCAGCCAAAACUUCCUUUGUUUAAAGAAUAAAUCUAGAGCAGUGUAUGCAGCUGGCUCUUUCAACCCUGUUCUUUGUAAAUGUAUACUGAAUGAAGAAAUGAAUUGACCUGAGAUGAGUUCUGUGUACUCUGUAAGUCUUCAGUUUCAAUAUAACGGCAGACCUCCAUAAAGGUUUAGGCUUAUAUCAGGUGCUGAUACAUUAAUUAUUGCUCAUUCAUAACAUGUACAGGAUCUUAUCGUUGUUUUAUUUUUCAUUCUCAAUUUAGUUACUGCAUGUUUACCUUACAUGGUUGUUGAUACAUUACGCACAACAUUUAGCUUAAACUCACUCUGUUGUACUCUCACAGUGCAGGCAUAGUAAAGGAUUAUGGGAUAUUUGAUAAUUUAGCUUUAUGGUAUCAGCCAACUAACUAUUAUUAAAAUAUAACAAAUAUAAAUAUACCAGUUUACCUGAAUCUUUCUAAAAACUACACAGUUUAUCUAGAGAGAAAGUGGCCAUUUAUUGUUUUGUUUUUUACCCCUUUUUUCUUUUUGUUGUUUGUUAGGUUGCUUUUGGGGGAUUCAUUCAUUUUGUUUUUGAAAAAUAAAGCCUUCACAAACCAUACAUGUUUUGUUUAGAGUAUACUGUUCAUCACUUAUUGUUUGCUUGUUCAGUGUCUGUAUUGUGUGCACAUUUACAUUUCAAUAGGUACACCACCUUUUUGAUUUACAGAAAUUCGGAUUGUCCAUAGAUAAAAAUACAUAGCUAAAAUAAACGUAAUUAAAUUGUAGAAUUCCAGAUGUUUGGGGGUGAAUUAAAGUGUUUAAUAAAAGAGACAAAAUCUUUACAAUAAACUAAAAUUCUAAGACA
This is a long non-coding RNA of Rhinichthys klamathensis goyatoka, 2648 nucleotides long. RefSeq lists it as uncharacterized. The transcript has 2 exons. The record is from RefSeq and is a predicted model, not a curated record. Lineage: Eukaryota; Metazoa; Chordata; Actinopteri; Cypriniformes; Leuciscidae.